This 404-nucleotide long non-coding RNA is filed under the name Mytilus galloprovincialis (Mediterranean mussel). The record is from RNAcentral. Lineage: Eukaryota; Metazoa; Mollusca; Bivalvia; Mytilida; Mytilidae.
GUCUCAUGUCUAUCUCUAGAUUCACCUUCCGUGACAAGGUAACACUACGACUAUUGAAGUUAUAUUUUUAUAUAGCGGAUGUGGUCGAGUGGUCUAGAGCGCUGGACAUGAGGCUAAGCGAUUGGUGCUGUAGUGUAUCAAAGGUGUGAGUUCGAAUCCCGCUGAGGGACGGACAAAAAUUUGUCAGUAUAAAAUCUAACUCUAACACUGUUUGGUGUAAUUUUCAGACUUAUAUAUAUAUUUGCAUUAACCUUGUAUCUAUAUCACUCUUAGAUCCAGUGGACAUGUAUAUUGUAUGGUUUGUCACUUGUUUAGACUUGUUUGUAAAAUAUACUUAUUUCUAUGUGACUGUAUAAUGAAAUGAAUCAUGAUCCUAUAUGAUAUAUAAAAAUUGUUGAGUUAGA